This 301-nucleotide ribosomal RNA is filed under the name uncultured bacterium. RNAcentral's name for it is "partial 16S ribosomal RNA". It matches the Rfam family "Bacterial small subunit ribosomal RNA", at positions 509 to 809 of the family's 1533-position model. The record is from RNAcentral.
CAGCCGCCGCGGGAAUACGAAGGGUGCAAGCGUUAAUCGGAAUUACUGGGCGUAAAGCGUGCGUAGGCGGUGAGUUAAGUCUGCUGUGAAAUCCCCGGGCUCAACCUGGGAAUGGCAGUGGAUACUGGCUCGCUAGAGUGUGUCAGAGGAUGGUGGAAUUCCCGGUGUAGCGGUGAAAUGCGUAGAGAUCGGGAGGAACAUCAGUGGCGAAGGCGGCCAUCUGGGACAACACUGACGCUGAGGCACGAAAGCGUGGGGAGCAAACAGGAUUAGAUACCCCCGUAGUCCUGUCUCUUAUACA